Molecule: ribosomal RNA, 290 nt
Filed under: uncultured Dacrymycetes
Lineage: Eukaryota; Fungi; Basidiomycota; Dacrymycetes
Description: partial 28S ribosomal RNA
Rfam family: Eukaryotic large subunit ribosomal RNA
Source: RNAcentral
AUAUCAAUAAGCGGAGGAAAAGAAACUAACAAGGAUUCCCCUAGUAACUGCGAGUGAAGCGGGAAAAGCUCAAAUUUAAAAUCCUUCGGGAGUUGUAAUCUAGAGAAGUGUCUUCGGUCGUUGCCUCGAACAAGUCCCUUGGAACAGGGCGUCAUAGAGGGUGAGAAUCCCGUUCUUGUCGAGCUACCAACGUCUAUGUGAUGCACUCUCGAAGAGUCGAGUUGUUUGGGAAUGCAGCUCAAAACGGGUGGUAAACUCCAUCUAAAGCUAAAUAUUGGCGAGAGACCGAU